GGAGAGGUGCCAGAGUGGUCGAAUGGGACGGUCUCGAAAACCGUUGUAGGCUCCGGUCUACCGUGGGUUCGAAUCCCACCCUCUCCGCCA
This 90-nucleotide transfer RNA is filed under the name Anaerolineae bacterium CG2_30_57_67. RNAcentral describes it as "tRNA-Ser". It matches the Rfam family "tRNA". Rfam says of the family: Transfer RNA (tRNA) molecules are approximately 80 nucleotides in length. Their secondary structure includes four short double-helical elements and three loops (D, anti-codon, and T loops). RNAcentral also lists the same sequence under 2 other names. Lineage: Bacteria; Bacillati; Chloroflexota; Anaerolineae. The record is from RNAcentral.